This is a long non-coding RNA of Oreochromis niloticus (Nile tilapia), 2061 nucleotides long. The record is from Ensembl. Lineage: Eukaryota; Metazoa; Chordata; Actinopteri; Cichliformes; Cichlidae.
AUGGUGGUAACCAGGCCUCAUUGCUUCUUGUUUACAUGUUCAUGCUCUGUACUUACCUCAGUCUCCUUGUGUCUCCAGUUUCCUCAUCAAGUCACCGCUUCACUCCCCUGCAGCUUAAUUACCUGGAUGCUGGUCUCCUUGCCAAGAUUCUCUGCACCUCUCUGCAACCCACUCCUCAGAAUCAAAACCACUCAUCGCUUUCACCUGCCUACCCUUCUGCCCGUUGUUUCCUCUGGAUUAUCAAGAAAACAAGGUUGGAACUGCAUUCAUUCACUCACCUCUUGGACACUCACUCGGUUGCCCUCCCCAAAGCCUCACAACCUCUGCCUGCAAGUAAGCCCACAGAAUCAGUAUUCCUCUCUCCUCCCCUCAUUAACUCCUCACUCUCAGAACCUAACCAAACUCUCCCUCUGUUCCAGUGCCUCCACGUCAGAGACUCAACACCGCGUGUCUACAUUUGAGUACCCUCCCACGUACUGGCCUCCGGGCCCCCUUGACAUAGUAUCAUCAAAAUAAGCCUGCAGACUGAAAUGGAAACCCCACCCCACCCCAAACAUACAAGUUCAUUUCAGCCGUGCCCCUUUAAUGUCAGUCUUCUGUUAUGAAGCCAGGGAUAAGCAGAAAAAUAAAUAAAUAAAUAAAUGAAUGAAAAUUAAAAAGAAACAGAAAAAACCCUAUUAAAUUCAUUUCUGUGUGAAAGCUUGGAGCAAAGAGAUAGUAAAUAUCCAAUCACGGUGUCAUAGAGAAGGAUAUUAGUUUAUGCCGUGCUCUCUGUAUCUGUUUCUGUUUUAUUUGAAUUUGAGCUGUGUGUGUGUGUGUGUGUGUGUGUGUGUGUGUGUGUGUGUGCACCAGCAUGUGUGUCCACAUGUGUACUGAAAUAUUCAAAGUUGAGCUGAGGUACUUUACUCUUGCACUUGGUAAUUGUGACGACCCUCUAGACCUCACCUUCCUAUCUGUCUGUUUGUUAGGCUGCUGUUUCUUGCAGAUCCUGCAGAGGAGGUGAAAUCUAUGUAAAAUCAGCAGUAGUGGUCAGUGUGCAGUGCUCCAUAAAAACACCUUGGAAGUAGGUUGCUGUGUGGGGCUCCUCCUUUAGCCACUCUUUUGGAUUUUUGUUGCAGUUCAGUUUGUUUUCUUGCAUAAAAUCACUGCAUUCAUCACACCUUCAUUCACUCACUCACUUACACCAUCGGUGUGGUGUAUAGUUCACUGGAAUGGGCAAGCAAUCCAGGUUCUUAAAGACUGUAGCAGCCUGGGUUUGGUUCCAUCCCAGACUAUUUCCUGCAUCAUUCUCUCUCUCUCCUGUCUGUUCUCUGUUUUUGCUGUCUAUUAAUAAUAGCUAAAAAUGGCCAAAUAGGACUUAAUUAGGUAAACAAUCUCUUGUUAUUAAUGCAUUGUCAAACAUGCAGCUUGCUUGGCAGCAAGUGUCUUUAAACAGCAUGACAAUGAUAUUUAAUAAAAUAAAUCACAUAAAAUAUCCCACUUAAGGCAGACAAAAGUUACAGCUUUUAACUUUUAGAUUUAAACUAGGUGUGGGACUAAAAAUAUUAAUCUAAAGCGCAAAUGUUUUUUUAAUUUUAAAGGGUUUUAGUCGGCGACAGAAUAAAUAAUAGACAUGGACAUGAAUAUUGUAAACUCAACCUCUUUUAAUUUAUGGGGAAAAAAAUUUAAACUGCAUUUCAGUGCAAAACAGAGAAACAAAAGUAAUAUCCCCGGCCAAAACUGGGCAGACUUAAAAAUAAAGUGCUAUUUUAAGUACUUUAAGUACAUUUGGGUACUUUCGUACCUGGUAUAUAUAAAUGGUUUUGUCUUUAAAUAAUAAUAAUACAAAUUUCAUAAACAGAAAGUGCAGUUUUUCUUCUUAAAAAAAAUAAGGCAGAAACAUAAAAGGUUAUUUGACCAGCUUCACCUUUAAACUCUGGGUAACCUCAGCCAACCUUAUUUUGUACAUUAGGCUAAAACACUGUGAUCAUUGAACAUUUUAGUGUAAAAAAUAAUAAACCCAUUGGACUCACAAUACCUCCAUGCUUAUUUACUGUCCGUCUCUUUCAGACAGUUACUUAA